This is a non-coding RNA of Cinara cedri, 5537 nucleotides long. The record is from the annotation of a GenBank genome assembly. Lineage: Eukaryota; Metazoa; Arthropoda; Insecta; Hemiptera; Aphididae.
CACUCUGAUAAUAAUUAUUUUAUUGAAUAAUAUUUUUUCAAAUUUAUUAAUAGUUUAUGUUAUAUAAUAAUAAUCAUGUUAAUAUUUUAAUUUUACUACUGAGUAGGUUUUAUAUAUGUGUGGGUAAUAAUAAUGUACGCACACACCUUACUCCUAAAAUCAAUCUAUCCACUAUGUAUAUAAUUUUCUUAUUAAUGAAUUAAAAAUUAAUGUAUAAUGUAUUAUUGAAUAUGAUAAUAUUGUAUUGAUUAUAAUAAUAAUAAUAAUAAUAUGAAUAGGUAUAUAGCAUAAUAAAAUGAUUAAUAACAAAAAGUCUUUAAAUGUAAAUUAAAAAAUACAAAUAAUAUUAAUAAUAUUCCUACGUUUAAUUCAUAAAUAAUAAUUAUAAAAAUUGUAAUACAUAAUGUUCCAUAAAUUAAAAUUAAAUAUAAAGAAAUAAAAAAAAAAAAAACGAAAAUUAUUAAAAUAUACAAAAUUACUAAGUAAAACCAAAAAAAAUUUUGUAAGUAUAUUUUAAAAUAAUAUGGUUAAGGAUAAAAAAAAAAAACGCAAAAAUACAAUACUAAGAAUAAAAAAAAAAUCGUUUUAUGCCAUCGGAGAAGUAUAUUAUAAUUUUAUAAGGAGAUAGGUAAAUCUCGUAUAGGUUAUAACGUCACACAGAAGUUUAAAAAUGUAUAAGAAGUAUAAAGUUAGAACUUUUUUUUUUUUAUUAAGCGUUAUAUUAAUUUAUAAUCACUACAGUGUUGUAUCAUCGAUAAAGUUUAUUAAAAUUUCAGAUAAAUGUAUAUAGGUAGUAUAGGUAAUUUAGGUGUUUAUUCCGUCGUAGUAUUUUUUCUGGUUUUUUUAAUGGACUUAUAUGUAAUAUUUGAUCAAGAUGCGAGAUGUUCGAGAAUAAUCGUAAUUGUUUGUUCGUUAGAAGAUCGAUUUAUUUUUUAUAUUCAAAAAGAUUACAUAAUUGUUUUGCGGCAAUCGUUUGGUACCCUGCCGCGAUGGAAUAAUAAUGUAUUAAUUCAACGCGGUCGGUAAUGUUUAUACAAACACUCCGAAUCCACACUUAACGCCGGACUUGUUUUGUUCUUUUAGCAAUAUUUUAAAUCGCGUAAACCGGACAUUCGUUGGUGCAUAAUAUAAUUUUUUUUAAGCGUUUUCCAUUCGAUCGCAACCGUGUACCUACACUGAUGUAAAACGUUUCGCUCGCUAUCGCCCGACGGCCGUCGCCGGCCCAUCGAAUUCCCUACGACGGUGAAGUGAAAUCUCAUCUAUACGCGCGAGUGUGUUACAACAUUUAUGUUGUCCAUCCAUGUUCGAUGAGGACCGGGCGAGCGAUCUAUAGUACUCUGGUCUGAUAGCUGUUAUCCAGUUCGCGAUAUAUCACCAUGUCGUACGAGAAUAUUCUAAUAUUACGUUUCACUUCGCAAUAUUGUUCAUUAAAAAAAAAUAAACACCGGGCACACCGGCUGAGUGUGACGUCCACUGACCGCGCGUAGUGUAGGUACGCAGGUGUAAUCGGACGAAAAACGCCAUUAGAUACCUAAAAUAUUGUACGACGAAUCAACGAAAUAUUACCUAUACUACACUAUUCGGAUAGAUAUUAAAUUUAGUUAUGAUAAUAAUAAUUAUAGUUCCAAUAUUAUGCAGACAUUAAGAAUAUAAUAUAAUAUAAUAUAAUAAUAAUAAUAAUAAUAAUAAUAAUGUAUAUAAUAAUAAUAAUUACGAAACGUAAUAUUUCCAAACAUCAACACGCUAAUUUUAUUAAAAUGUAUUAUAUUAUGUAAAACCGAGAUUAAUAUAAAGUAAAAGAGUAUAUAAUAAUUAUUUUUAAUGUAAUAUAACGUAAUAAUAAAAUAUUAUGGGUGUUAUUAUUAUACGGAUAUUACCGUUAAACUACAAUAGUAAUAAUAAUAAUGUAACGUAAGAAUUAUGACAGGUAAGUAUAAUAUUAAGAAUAAUACUAAAUGACUUAUGAAUUAAAUAGUACGUCUUAUUAUAUCUAUUUUUUUUUUUUUUUUUUAAGUAUUUUUAUUAUUGAUUUCGUUAUCGCUACAAUGAAAACACACUCUAGCGAUACCCACUACUCAUAUUAUAACGGUACCGACAUUGCAGAUAACGUCGACUUAAAUAAUCUUACUAUUGUUUAUCAUCGAACCCCCUCCGGACUUUUGCCCCUCGGAUAUCGCUUGUUUUUCGCCUUUUCCAAUCCCGUUUUAUAAUUCAUAAUACCCGACACUGUAUACUGAAUAAAGUCGAUUUUGGCGACUUUCAAUAUACUCGCAUACAAAAGUAAUUUUUUCUUUAUCUCGUUGGGUUCGCGAUGUCCGCAUGUCCACAAAUCGGAUACGAUUUUGGCAAUAAUGUUUAUUACCUAUUGUAUUAUUAUAGGAGAUCGACACUUCGGAUAAAAAUUACGGGCGGAAUCUUAUUGUAUACCGUAAUAACAUUACAACCAAUCGAUCGUAAUAUUAUCAUCAACAUGGAGGGGGUCGUUUAUCGAAAAAAUCAUUUUAUACAGGUAUUUCAUUGCAAUGUCUACAUUUUCGGUAUCAUUCCGUAUAUGGCUACAGCGAAAUCGAUUAUUGUGCACGCUAAACGUAGUAAAAUUAUUAUUCUAAAUAAUUAUCGUGAUUAAUUCUAAGCUUAUAAUAUAGUAAAUAUUAUGAGUAUAUUUCUACACACACGCGUUACCGUACAUCAUUCAAAAUAUUUUAUACCUAUGCAUAACUAAAUUUACUAUAAUUUAUAUUUGGUUUUCUUGCCAGUUCAAUAAUAAUUUAAUUAUAGUAUUUAUGAUUAUUAUAUUUUUACGUAGAACACAAUAUUAUUAUUACGUAUCAUCUAAAAGCGAUAUAUUAUCAUAUAUUUUAAUUUUGCUAACCGCUCUUCGGCAGGACGAGACUACGCGAAAAUCAGUAUCGUAGCGUGCUACUAAUUAUUAUAAUAAUAUUGUUACAUAUUUUAUACCUACGAGACAACUAACGUUAUCUGGUUUACAAUAUUGUUAUACUGUGUGUACAUUAUUAAUUACUUAAGCGGUAAUGACGAUCAUUCGUAUAUGAGUAAAAACAAUAUUCUAUUCUUUUGUUCGCGAACAAUUAUGUAACUAUAUUAAAUUACCAUUAAAAUGCCUACGGUGAAAUAUUGCUUAAAAUUAAUUUUAACACAUCUACUUUGUAAUAUUAAUAUUAUAGUUUAUUUUAUUUUUUUUUUGUCGCGAAUAAGAAACGCUGAAGUUAUAGUGUUAUGACGUGUUGACAAAGGACCGUCGGAAAAGACCAAUAAUAUCAAUAUCAGGUUCGGAAAUGAUAGAUUGUUGUCGACGAGAGAAACGCAAACGUACGGCUAACAAUAUUAUAAACAUAAUAUUCGUACGGGACGAUUUUUUUUUUUUCCGUUUUUCUUUAUCCGACACAAUAUUAGCGCCACUUUUCGGUCGUGAUUUUCAAACAUUUUUUUUUCGCGUUUUUCAUGAAACCUGUGCGAUUUUUUAUUGUGUCGACGUCAACGCCGCGCAAAAACUAUGAUAUUAUUUUUGUCUAUCAAGUUCUAAACCGUGAGAAAUUAUGCGGAUAAAUAUAUUACCUAUUGACAUUAACGUGCGUGCUGGUUUAUGAACGCAGAAUCGACGGGUGUUGUGCGUCUCAAUGUAUUCAGCAGGAGAUGCAACUUCGCGUUUAUUCGAAAAACAGUGUAUAUAAUAACGUUGUAUAUUAUAAUGGGUAUAGGUAAUAAGUAAAUAUAGUAUGGGUGCAGUUACAAAUAUUAUAAUAAAUAGGAUUAAAUAUCGUAUAGAUACUUUGGCACGAUUUUCGUUUUUGUUUUAAUCGAUUUUUUUUUUUUUUUUUUUUGUUACAAAUUGACAAAUUAAAAAUCAAUUUUUCAUUUGGUAUCUCUUUCUGGCUUACUCUCUCUCUCUCUCUCUCUCUUUCUCCAUGUUAAACACGUCAUACACGUCAUAACGGCGGUUUUUAACCGUUUUUACGAAUAUAUUUGACAUUUUCGGAGAGAUUUUCGGCGGAAUUCAACCAAUAUUGGCAAUAUUGAAGGUUUUACGUUUAAAUUACCAUCAUAAUAUUAUUAUGUCAGUUUGCGGACGCGUAAACGCGUGCGUGCAAGGUGUUUAAUGUCUUUGGUACGGGAUAUUACAGCGGCGUAAGCGCUCGCGGUUUUAAAAUGGUCUUUUAUUAUUUUUGUUUAGUAUAUUUGGUUAAAAAGACUGCAGUAUAACAAGCAGUCAGCAGUUUGAUGGAAUUUUCACGGACACAUUUGUAAGUACCGAAAUGUUCUUUGGAUACAUAAUAGUUAUUAGGUGAAGUCACGGAGCUGGAUUAUGGGAAAGGCUUAGGGGGGGAGCAAUAAUCCCGGGCCGCAAGUCGAACAAGGGCUACACAAUGUUUUUUGCUGAAGACUUUUUUUUUUUUUGUCUAUCGAUCUUUUAUACGAAUAUUAGAACAUUAUACGAAUUCUUUGCUGAUGACUUUUUUUUUUUUUGGUCUCUAGUCCCGGGCCCCCAUAAUCCGGCAAUGUGAAGUCGAUUUCUGCAUGAUGAUGAAUUCGACAAAUUUCCUGUUCGAUAACAAUAAUAAUUAUUGUUAUUUGAUAACGACGGAAUAUGUAUGAAUGUUUACUUCACAUUGUUAUUGUGUACAAUUCACCUUUAAAAUGGAUUUUUUAUUGCUUUUUGCGAAUUCGCGAUUUCAUUCGAAAUGCCACAAUUCAAGUUUAUUAAGUGUACUUGAAUUUGUUUAUAAUUUCUUUUUCUUUAAGGGUCGCAACAUAUUAUGCAUACUAAUGGAAAUAUCGUACGUACUUUAUAUUAAUCUAUGCGUGAUGGACAGCGGCGAUAAUAUUAUAUAAAUAUUUUCGAAAUUAAUCGACGGUCGAACAUGAUAUCUCCAUCAUAGUAUACGUAUUACACGCGUGUUACAGCGAAAUUACGGCCCUUAGAAUUAUUAAGCCGUAUCCGGUACGUGUUGUUAAUGAUUUCGGAUCGGCCAAGUUCGCGAGAGAUUUUUCAACGGAUAUCGGUUUUAUGGAAUAUAUAUAGUUGCAUAAUAUAAUGUUAUGCGGGUAGUUCUUCCGGAACGGAAUUGGGAAUCUACUGUGCCGGGAGAACAGGAUUAGAUGACAGUUCGUACUGUAUAUUAUUUGUUUCCCCUUGUAUAGUAUUUUGUAUUAAUGAUUUAAAUAGGUAUCUACGUGAUUUUCGUAAAUCGAAAUAAUAAUAAUGCCCACUUAAAACUCGACGGAAUAUUAAACAUUAAUGUUAUUAUAUAGUGACUAUUGACGUUUUUUUCUUUUUUAUAUAUACUGUUUGUGGUCUACGAUACUCGUAAGUUUUCUGUUUAUUUUUAUCAUUUGUUAUUAGAUUAAUUGUAUUUGUUUACCGUUCGAAACUAUGAUCAUACCAUACAUUAUUACCUGCAGCUACUAUAUAGACUGCGAUAGUUUCUAAUUUUCUACGGCCGCGAUGAAAUUACACUACACACGAUAAUAUGUUUAACGUAUAACAGUAUUGUUUAGUAUCCCUUCGUAGUUUAAGA